AGCAGCCGCGGUAAUUCCAGCUCCAAUAGCGUAUAUUAAAGUUGUUGCAGUUAAAAGCUCGUAGUUGAAUUUCGGGAUCAAUAUUUCGGUCAUGCCGUUGGUAUGCACUGUUAUCAUUGAUUUCUCACCUUCUAAAGAACCGUAAUGCCAUUAAUUUGGUGUUACGGGGAAUUAGGACUGUUACCUUGAAAAAUUAGAGUGUUUAAAGCAGGCUCACGCUUGAAUACAUUAGCAUGGAAUAAUGAAAUAGGACAUCCGAUUCUAUUUUGUUGGUUUCUAGGAUCGAUGUAAUGAUUAAUAGGGAUAGUUGGGGGCAUUAGUAUUCAAUUGUCAGAGGUGAAAUUCUUGGAUUUAUGAAGACUAACUACCGCGAAAGCAUUUGCCAAGGAUGUUUUCAUUAAUCAAGAACGAAAGUUAGGGAUCGAAGACGAUCAGAUACCGUCGUAGUCU
RNAcentral lists this ribosomal RNA (450 nucleotides) under uncultured Glomeromycotina. Its description in RNAcentral is "SSU rRNA". It matches the Rfam family "Eukaryotic small subunit ribosomal RNA", at positions 569 to 1026 of the family's 1831-position model. Lineage: Eukaryota; Fungi; Glomeromycota. The record is from RNAcentral.